AACGCACAUUGCGCCCUUUGGUAUUCCGAAGGGCAUGCCUGUCCGAGCGUCAUUAUCAACCAUCAAGCUGGGCUUGCUGUUGGACCCGGUCGUGCCGAAUGUCGGUCACGACCGGUCUGCAAGGAAAUAGCGGUGUCGCGAUGGACCCCGGAUACAGUGAGCUCUCGGCAGCACGUAUCGCGGUGGCCCACCGGCCCGGCCUCGGGAUAUUUUCCAGAGUUGACCUCGGAUCAGGCAGGAAUACCCGCUGAACUUAA
RNAcentral lists this unclassified non-coding RNA (257 nucleotides) under uncultured fungus. RNAcentral describes it as "sequence contains ITS2". The stretch from base 1 to 52 matches the Rfam family "5.8S ribosomal RNA", at positions 103 to 154 of the family's 154-position model. Lineage: Eukaryota; Fungi. The record is from RNAcentral.